Molecule: ribosomal RNA, 494 nt
Filed under: uncultured bacterium
Lineage: Bacteria
Description: partial 16S ribosomal RNA
Rfam family: Bacterial small subunit ribosomal RNA
Source: RNAcentral
GACGAACGCUGGCGGCGCGCUUAACACAUGCAAGUCGAACGGAAAGGCCUGCUUUCCCUUGUGGAUUGCGGGUACUCGAGUGGCGAACGGGUGAGUAACACGUGAGUGAUCUGCCCCCAACUUGGGUAUAAGCCUGGGAAACUGGGUCUAAUUCCCGAUAGGACUGCAGGGUGGUGCCUGUGGUGGCAAACGAUUUUCUAGUGGUUGGGGAUGGGCUCGCGGCCUAUCAGCUUGUUGGUGGGGUAAUGGCCUACCAAGGCGGCGACGGGUAGCCGGCCUGGGAGGGUGGACGGCCACAUUGAGACUGAGAUACGGCCCAGACUCGUACGGGAGGCAGCAGUGGGGAAGAAUGCACAAUGGGCGGAAGCCUGAUGCAGCGACGCCGCGUGGGGGAUGACGGCCUUCGGGUUGUAAACUCCUUGCGACCGCGAGGAAGCCACCUGGUUGGAAGGGUGGUGACGGUAGUGGUAGAAGAAGCACCGGCUAACUACGUG